Long non-coding RNA from Vespa mandarinia (Asian giant hornet), 377 nucleotides. The record is from RefSeq and is a predicted model, not a curated record. NCBI's taxonomy places the organism in Eukaryota, Metazoa, Arthropoda, Insecta, Hymenoptera, Vespidae.
AAUAUAAUUACCUAAUGGAUUAACUGAGAAUAAUAGCCGCGAUAUGAUGGAUGAUUUAUAAGAAUUAAUAAAGACUCAUGGCAAUUUAUCAUGUAUCUAAAUUUGCACACAACGAAAGGUUCGAAUUUCCCGCGCGAUCUUUUGAUCGAUCGAGUCACAAGUUGCCAACUAUAUCGUUGGUAUAACUGUUGACAUUCAACGACAUUAGCGUGCAGUUAUACGUCCGUACGUGUUGGUUAACAGUCGAUAGCUUACGCAGAAGUAUAUCGAAAUAACACGUUAUGAGAAAGAACAACUCAGAGAUAACGGGACACCUUACAAAUAUAUGAACGAACGAGUUACCUCCUCUUUACUCCCCGAUCGCCGGACCGUCCAAC